GGACGGGUGCCGUUGGUCACUCCUUGCCCGCACGCGGGCCGGCGAUCAAGGGUUAUCGGAUUAGCGGGGGGUGACACCCCUGUGAGGGUUCAAAUCCCUCCCCGUCCG
Molecule: transfer RNA, 108 nt
Filed under: Caldilinea sp.
Lineage: Bacteria; Bacillati; Chloroflexota; Caldilineae; Caldilineales; Caldilineaceae
Also listed under: 1 other name
Description: tRNA-OTHER
Source: RNAcentral